Molecule: long non-coding RNA, 2066 nt
Filed under: Chlamydomonas reinhardtii
Lineage: Eukaryota; Viridiplantae; Chlorophyta; Chlorophyceae; Chlamydomonadales; Chlamydomonadaceae
Description: long non-coding RNA (CREI_LNC000138)
Source: RNAcentral
ACUAUAAGGACGGGUUUGUGCGUUAUGGCAUGCGUUAGCAUGCGUUAAGCAUGGAAAUUCCGCAUGCGGCAAGCACGAAAAGUGCGUGCGGUACGCAGGAGGAAGCACACCGCUCGCAUGCGUCAAGGACAAGCACUUACGUUAGCUAACGCAUGGUAGUUGCCAGGACUUGCCGCGCCGCUCCCCUCUGGCUGGCACGCAUGCGUAUGCAUCCUUAGCAUACGCACGAUUAAGCACAAAUAAAGCAAAAAUGCCGGUUGCUUAGAGCUCUACGCAUGGUCUCACGCAUGCGGCACGCCUGUGCUUUACCUAAAGCAAGCUGCCACCCGGCGCUGUGUGCGUCCCGCCCGAUACUGUGCGCGUCCCGCACGGCACAUAAAAUGGGGCACAUGAGGCACCUGAAGCUCUCUUGAUGUGUUACAGUUCAUGCAUCUGCGCUCCGACACGUGCCCCUCGUACUGGUGUCGUGGUGUGCCAAAAUGGUGCAAGUCCGCACGGCUCUCCCGCUCCGUCCCCACACGACCCGCAACCCACCACGUGCUGCACGCACACACUCUGCAAGGUCUGCCAUUGCUACAAAACACUAAACGUACAGACCAGGCAUACUCAGGGUCUCGAGGCAAGUGUGAAGGCAACCGAUACGGAUCCCCUGCCAGCACUACACCCAGCCACCCGCCGAUCACACCAUAACACCAUGCGCGCACAGCGCCGCCUGCCAAUUCCGCUGCCGCCACCUGAAGUCUGCCGCUUGCCGCUAGCCACCUCCGUGCUUUAGCUCGGCCUGCAUGGUGUUUGGAGUAAGUUGGUCAGUGAAUGGUGGCACGGUGUCAUGCUAGCUCUAGGUACACGCAGGGCCUAGACCGCAUUCGGUCCCCUAGAACUAACUUCCCAUGUACGUCAUUCAAAUCCAAUCAUUCAUCCUAUUAUGAGUUGUGUAGCAAUUUCCGAUCAAACUUGCCUGGUGAGGGUUAGAAGGGCCACGCAUUUACGCGCGCUGCGCCCCGAGUCGAAUUCCAGUGCCGGACCUGAGGGGACAAGGGGAGGGGGAGGGGGGGAGCUUCACAUUCUGCAGUUCUGCCUAUGCUCUUACAACUUCGUCCAUACUGCGCAUGGAUGCUAGCUCGCUUGACCCCCUGAAUUUGUUGUCGCUUGUCGACCCCCUGAAUUGGCUGUCGCUAUGUACCUGCCUCACCUGGCACUGUUGAUUCCAGACUCUCUGAUGCUUGAUUUACAUCCUGUAACAGCAGCGUCAAGACCUGGCUUAGUUGUAGACCCGGUCAACGAGGGUCCGACACCCCCUGCGACAGCGCAGCCUAGCCCCAGCACCAGCAGCUCAUCACAUACCUUCCAAAGAUUGAUGCCAGGGCUUAGCAGGACUUGAAGACUCGCCCAGUAGACUUGAGCGCCAACUUUGAAAGCAAGUCCAUUGCCGACUGGCAGAGGACCACGAAGCCUCUACAUGGCACUGAACGAUAAGUAUGUAGCUACAUGUGACAAAGACAGGUUGCUUGAAGAGUGAAGAACUGAACUCGAAAUACAUGAGCCCCAUGCAGCCCCAUGCAACAAGGAACGCGCUCCAUGCUGGGUCUUGAUUUGCUGUGCAUGCUCCGGUCAGACCUUAAAUCAAUCUGCAGCAGGCCGGUGCGUCAGUCUUCAGCGCCGGUCCGGGCACGGGUCUCGCCUCGGCCUGCGCCUCCGCGGCUUGUGCUUAGGGAACCACCUGGAGCUGGGUACCGGCUUUCUCGGCUUCGCAUGGUUCGUCUUUAAAGCUUUCUCAGUAACGGGGAAAGCCUCACAUGCACACGCACCUCCGCUCAUGCCCACCGCCGCAUGAAGGAAGGCCGGGGGAGGCCUGGUGCGCCGGGCAGGAUACGGGGUAAGGCUCACAUGCACACGCACCCUCCUGUGGCGUUGCGGUCUGUCUGUGUGGUGCUAUCGCCUGGCCGGGCGCCCGGAGCGUGAGGAAUGCGCAUCAGCAGACUUCCAGCCAGCCAGGAACUUGUCGGUACAGUAACGCCGGCGUUCGACCAGCCAUGCACUUCUGCUCUGCCACUGCAAACUGUUUG